RNAcentral lists this ribosomal RNA (423 nucleotides) under uncultured bacterium. RNAcentral's name for it is "bacterial SSU rRNA". It matches the Rfam family "Bacterial small subunit ribosomal RNA", at positions 207 to 622 of the family's 1533-position model. The record is from RNAcentral.
CAAGACCUGCGCUUUUGGAGCGGCCGAUGUCUGAUUAGCUUGUUGGUGAGGUAAAAGCUUACCAAGGCUUCGAUCAGUAGCUGGUCUGAGAGGACGACCAGCCACACUGGGACUGAGACACGGCCCAGACUCCUACGGGAGGCAGCAGUGGGGAAUUUUGGACAAUGGGGGCAACCCUGAUCCAGCCAUGCCGCGUGAGUGAAGAAGGCCUUCGGGUUGUAAAGCUCUUUCAGCCGGAACGAAACGGUUACGGUUAAUACCCGUGACUACUGACGGUACCGGAAGAAGAAGCACCGGCUAACUACGUGCCAGCAGCCGCGGUAAUACGUAGGGUGCGAGCGUUAAUCGGAAUUACUGGGCGUAAAGCGUGCGCAGGUGGUUUUGUAAGUCAGAUGUGAAAUCCCCGGGCUUAACCUGGGAACU